This 301-nucleotide ribosomal RNA is filed under the name uncultured Lactobacillus sp. Its description in RNAcentral is "bacterial SSU rRNA". It matches the Rfam family "Bacterial small subunit ribosomal RNA", at positions 491 to 791 of the family's 1533-position model. The record is from RNAcentral. Lineage: Bacteria; Bacillati; Bacillota; Bacilli; Lactobacillales; Lactobacillaceae.
CCCGGGCUAACGCGUGGGCAGCUGCGGGGGGAAAACGUAGGGGGGUAGCGUUGUCCGGAAUCAGUGGGCGUAAAGCGCGCGUAGGCGGCCCUGUUAGUACGCUGUAAAAGUCAAAGGCUCAACCUUGGAAUGCCGGUGGAUACUGCAGGGCUAGAGUCCGGAAGAGGCGAGUGGAAUUCCUGGUGUAGCGGUGGAAUGCGCAGAUAUCAGGAGGAACACCAACGGCGAAGGCAGCUCGCUGGGACGGUACUGACGCUGAGGCGCGAAAGCGUGGGGAGCGAACAGGAUUAGAUACCCAAGC